This 276-nucleotide unclassified non-coding RNA is filed under the name Hevea brasiliensis (rubber tree). The record is from RNAcentral. Lineage: Eukaryota; Viridiplantae; Streptophyta; Magnoliopsida; Malpighiales; Euphorbiaceae.
AAAAAAAUAAACAUCCUAACCCAAUAGCCUCCGAAGGGUUCUACAAACUUAGGCCAGAGAUCAUAGCAGAAGCCUUUCCCUUUCCGAAGGCGGAGGAAAUUAACGAUUAAACAACUCAACGAGUCUGAGAAUACCAAAGAAAACCAAAUCUAAACUAAGAGAAAUUUUCUCUCUCUUAUGCUUGAUAAUAAUAGAAAACGGUAAAUGUCAAGAUAGAUCAUUAGAUCCAAGUAUAUGGUGCUCAUUGCCCCGCCUGGCAUUCCCUUAUCCAAUAAC